RNAcentral lists this ribosomal RNA (846 nucleotides) under Megalodiscus temperatus. RNAcentral describes it as "SSU rRNA". It matches the Rfam family "Eukaryotic small subunit ribosomal RNA", at positions 111 to 850 of the family's 1831-position model. The record is from RNAcentral. Lineage: Eukaryota; Metazoa; Platyhelminthes; Trematoda; Plagiorchiida; Paramphistomatidae.
UAUGGUUCCUUGGAUCGUACAUACUACAUGGAUAACUGUAGUAAUUCUAGAGCUAAUACAUGCCACUAUGCCCUGACCCGAAAGGGAACGGGUGGAUUUAUUAGAACAGAACCAACCGGUUGUGACUCACGUCGUAGCCGUUGUACUCUGUGAUGACUCUGGAUAACUUUACUGAUCGCAGUCGGCCUUGUGUCGGCGACGGAUCCUUCAAAUGUCUGCCCUAUCAAUUGUCGAUGGUAGGUGAUCUGCCUACCAUGGUGAUAACGGGUAACGGGGAAUCAGGGUUCGAUUCCGGAGAGGGAGCCUGAGAAACGGCUACCACUUCUAAGGAAGGCAGCAGGCACGCAAAUUACCCAAUCCCGGUACGGGGAGGUAGUGACGAUAAAUACGGAUACGGGACUCAACAGAGGCUCCGUAAUUCGAAUGAGUACAAUUUAAAUCCUUUAACGAGGACCAACUGGAGGGCAAGUCUGGUGCCAGCAGCCGCGGUAACUCCAGCUCCAGAAGCGUAUAUUAAAGUUGUUGCAGUUAAAAAGCUCGUAGUUGGAUCUGGGUCGCAUGGCUACGUGCCGUUGCCUGUAUUCUGGAUUUGGUUACGACUGGAUCUGGUUUAUGGGUCGGUGCAGUGGUUGUGCAGCCUUUCUGCCGUGUCUGUUUAACAGGUGCUGGUGGAUUGAUGGGCUUGCUCAUUAGUCUGUUAGCAUGCUUUCGAAUGCCUUUAAACGGGUGUUGGGAGCGGACGGCACGUUUACUUUGAACAAAUUUGAGUGCUCAAAGCAGGCCCUUGUGCCUGAAAAGUCUUGCAUGGAAUAAUGGAAUAGGACUUCGGUUCUAUUUUGUUGGUUU